Molecule: long non-coding RNA, 1002 nt
Filed under: Heterocephalus glaber (naked mole-rat)
Lineage: Eukaryota; Metazoa; Chordata; Mammalia; Rodentia; Bathyergidae
Description: lncRNA (ENSHGLG00100034797.1)
Source: RNAcentral
CCUUUGGGACUUGAAACACAUUUUUUCUCAAAAGGUGUUACAAAGAGUUGUUCAGUAUUCUCUGAUCAGGUCCAGGAAGACCCUAAAGUCAGAGGUACAGCAGAACCAGAGGGCACACACCCGAGCCCUGCAGCCAGGGACAGGUACAGAACAGGCCAUGGGUGAGCACUUUGUUCUACCACACAUUCCCACCAUGAUAUGCUGCUUUAUCAUAGGCCCAAACGAAGCAAGACAAUCAAGCAUGGACUGAAAAUUCUAAGACUCUUCCAGCUUCUUGGCAAGAGCAACUACUGGGUCUUCCUGCUCUCCAGCCUGCAGCCAGCCAUCAUGGCCUCUCCUGCCCUGAUCCUAUUAAAAAAUAGAGAAUACAGGUUGCCUACAUGAAGAAAGAAAGAGAGACUUCCAGAAACACGGCAGCAACAAAUCUCCCUCUCUAAGAUUUGGAAUCCAGACACUGAAAAUAACAGCUUGGGGAAUAAAAGAAGGAAGAAGGUGGAUCCCUGGUACCCAGGAAGGACCUGAAGGGAAAAUUGAAACCUGCAGAACCACUGAAGAGACAGACCACAACACAGAAAAAGAAAAGCGCAAUCUGCCCUUUCUCCUCUCUUCUCUCUCAUGGUGGGAGAAAGGAAGAUCAGCUCUACAAAGACACAGUGAAAGUGGUGACUCCAAAGGUCUUCAGGGAGAAACACACCAGUGGGUAGAGCAGUGGAUGCUGUUUGCUAAAAAGGCGGUGAGUGACCCCAGUCCAAGCAACUGCUGAAUGCCCUCAAGAGAGUGCUUGGUCAGAUGCCGUUCUGGAGAGGGGCCAACUGAACCUGGGACUCAGAGUAGCCAUGGGUUGGCUUCAUCCCAGGGCUCCCAAGUUAAACUCCCACAGUGACUGGGUGAGGGACAACCAUGGGAGACAUUCAUGGUCAGGGAGCCAUGGUCAGGCUGGUAAGACACCCAGAGUGUUAUAAGCUAAGUGACUCAAGCCCUAACCCCAUGACCAGAGGCCAG